Molecule: ribosomal RNA, 450 nt
Filed under: uncultured bacterium
Lineage: Bacteria
Description: bacterial SSU rRNA
Rfam family: Bacterial small subunit ribosomal RNA
Source: RNAcentral
GUGGGGAAUUUUGGACAAUGGGGGCAACCCUGAUCCAGCCAUGCCGCGUGAGUGAAGAAGGCCUUCGGGUUGUAAAGCUCUUUCGGCCGGAACGAAAUCGCGUACGUGAAUAACGUGCGUGGAUGACGGUACUGGAAGAAGAAGCACCGGCUAACUACGUGCCAGCAGCCGCGGUAAUACGUAGGGUGCGAGCGUUAAUCGGAAUUACUGGGCGUAAAGCGUGCGCAGGCGGUUCUGCAAGUCAGAUGUGAAAUCCCCGGGCUUAACCUGGGAACUGCGUUUGAAACUACGGAGCUAGAGUGCGGCAGAGGGGGGUGGAAUUCCACGUGUAGCAGUGAAAUGCGUAGAUAUGUGGAGGAACACCGAUGGCGAAGGCAGCCCCCUGGGCCGACACUGACGCUCAGGCACGAAAGCGUGGGGAGCAAACAGGAUUAGAAACCCUUGUAGUCC